RNAcentral lists this ribosomal RNA (2924 nucleotides) under Salmonella enterica subsp. enterica serovar Enteritidis str. EC20100103. Its description in RNAcentral is "bacterial LSU rRNA". It matches the Rfam family "Bacterial large subunit ribosomal RNA". Lineage: Bacteria; Pseudomonadati; Pseudomonadota; Gammaproteobacteria; Enterobacterales; Enterobacteriaceae. The record is from RNAcentral.
GGGUUGUGAGGUUAAGCGACUAAGCGUACACGGUGGAUGCCCUGGCAGUCAGAGGCGAUGAAGGGCNNACUAAUCUGCGAUAAGCGCCGGUAAGGUGAUAUGAACCGUUAUAACCGGCGAUACCCGAAUGGGGAAACCCAGUGUGAUUCGUCACACUAUCAUUAACUGAAUCCAUAGGUUAAUGAGGCGAACCGGGGGAACUGAAACAUCUAAGUACCCCGAGGAAAAGAAAUCAACCGAGAUUCCCCCAGUAGCGGCGAGCGAACGGGGAGGAGCCCAGAGCCUGAAUCAGCAUGUGUGUUAGUGGAAGCGUCUGGAAAGGCGCGCGAUACAGGGUGACAGCCCCGUACACAAAAGCGCAUGUGCUGUGAGCUCGAUGAGUAGGGCGGGACACGUGGUAUCCUGUCUGAAUAUGGGGGGACCAUCCUCCAAGGCUAAAUACUCCUGACUGACCGAUAGUGAACCAGUACCGUGAGGGAAAGGCGAAAAGAACCCCGGCGAGGGGAGUGAAAAAGAACCUGAAACCGUGUACGUACAAGCAGUGGGAGCACCCUUUGGGUGUGACUGCGUACCUUUUGUAUAAUGGGUCAGCGACUUAUAUUCUGUAGCAAGGUUAACCGAAUAGGGGAGCCGGAGGGAAACCGAGUCUUAAUUGGGCGUUAAGUUGCAGGGUAUAGACCCGAAACCCGGUGAUCUAGCCAUGGGCAGGUUGAAGGUUGGGUAACACUAACUGGAGGACCGAACCGACUAAUGUUGAAAAAUUAGCGGAUGACCUGUGGCUGGGGGUGAAAGGCCAAUCAAACCGGGAGAUAGCUGGUUCUCCCCGAAAGCUAUUUAGGUAGCGCCUCGUGAAUUCAUCUCCGGGGGUAGAGCACUGUUUCGGCUAGGGGGCCAUCCCGGCUUACCAACCCGAUGCAAACUGCGAAUACCGGAGAAUGUUAUCACGGGAGACACACGGCGGGUGCUAACGUCCGUCGUGAAGAGGGAAACAACCCAGACCGCCAGCUAAGGUCCCAAAGUCAUGGUUAAGUGGGAAACGAUGUGGGAAGGCCCAGACAGCCAGGAUGUUGGCUUAGAAGCAGCCAUCAUUUAAAGAAAGCGUAAUAGCUCACUGGUCGAGUCGGCCUGCGCGGAAGAUGUAACGGGGCUAAACCAUGCACCGAAGCUGCGGCAGCGACACUGUGUGUUGUUGGGUAGGGGAGCGUUCUGUAAGCCUGCGAAGGUGGCCUGUGAGGGUUGCUGGAGGUAUCAGAAGUGCGAAUGCUGACAUAAGUAACGAUAAAGCGGGUGAAAAGCCCGCUCGCCGGAAGACCAAGGGUUCCUGUCCAACGUUAAUCGGGGCAGGGUGAGUCGACCCCUAAGGCGAGGCCGAAAGGCGUAGUCGAUGGGAAACGGGUUAAUAUUCCCGUACUUGGUGUUACUGCGAAGGGGGGACGGAGAAGGCUAUGUUGGCCGGGCGACGGUUGUCCCGGUUUAAGCGUGUAGGUGUGUGUUCCAGGUAAAUCCGGUUCACUUUAACACUGAGGCGUGACGACGAGGCACUACGGUGCUGAAGCAACAAAUGCCCUGCUUCCAGGAAAAGCCUCUAAGCAUCAGGUAACAUCAAAUCGUACCCCAAACCGACACAGGUGGUCAGGUAGAGAAUACCAAGGCGCUUGAGAGAACUCGGGUGAAGGAACUAGGCAAAAUGGUGCCGUAACUUCGGGAGAAGGCACGCUGACACGUAGGUGAAGUGAUUUACUCAUGGAGCUGAAGUCAGUCGAAGAUACCAGCUGGCUGCAACUGUUUAUUAAAAACACAGCACUGUGCAAACACGAAAGUGGACGUAUACGGUGUGACGCCUGCCCGGUGCCGGAAGGUUAAUUGAUGGGGUCAGCGCAAGCGAAGCUCCUGAUCGAAGCCCCGGUAAACGGCGGCCGUAACUAUAACGGUCCUAAGGUAGCGAAAUUCCUUGUCGGGUAAGUUCCGACCUGCACGAAUGGCGUAAUGAUGGCCAGGCUGUCUCCACCCGAGACUCAGUGAAAUUGAACUCGCUGUGAAGAUGCAGUGUACCCGCGGCAAGACGGAAAGACCCCGUGAACCUUUACUAUAGCUUGACACUGAACAUUGAGCCUUGAUGUGUAGGAUAGGUGGGAGGCUUUGAAGUGUGGACGCCAGUCUGCAUGGAGCCGACCUUGAAAUACCACCCUUUAAUGUUUGAUGUUCUAACGUGGACCCGUUACCCGGGUUGCGGACAGUGUCUGGUGGGUAGUUUGACUGGGGCGGUCUCCUCCUAAAGAGUAACGGAGGAGCACGAAGGUUGGCUAAUCCUGGUCGGACAUCAGGAGGUUAGUGCAAUGGCAUAAGCCAGCUUGACUGCGAGCGUGACGGCGCGAGCAGGUGCGAAAGCAGGUCAUAGUGAUCCGGUGGUUCUGAAUGGAAGGGCCAUCGCUCAACGGAUAAAAGGUACUCCGGGGAUAACAGGCUGAUACCGCCCAAGAGUUCAUAUCGACGGCGGUGUUUGGCACCUCGAUGUCGGCUCAUCACAUCUGGGGCUGAAGUAGGUCCCAAGGGUAUGGCUGUUCGCCAUUUAAAGUGGUACGCGAGCUGGGUUUAGAACGUCGUGAGACAGUUCGGUCCCUAUCUGCCGUGGGCGCUGGAGAACUGAGGGGGGCUGCUCCUAGUACGAGAGGACCGGAGUGGACGCAUCACUGGUGUUCGGGUUGUCAUGCCAAUGGCACUGCCCGGUAGCUAAAUGCGGAAGAGAUAAGUGCUGAAAGCAUCUAAGCACGAAACUUGCCCCGAGAUGAGUUCUCCCUGAGACUUAAAGUCUCCUGAAGGAACGUUGAAGACGACGACGUUGAUAGGCCGGGUGUGUAAGCGCAGCGAUGCGUUGAGCUAACCGGUACUAAUGAACCGUGAGGCUUAACCUUACAACGCCGAAG